UAGAGUUUGAUCAUGGCUCAGAUUGAACGCUGGCGGCAGGCCUAACACAUGCAAGUCGAGCGGGGUUUUCGGACCUAGCGGCGGACGGGUGAGUAAUGCGUAGGAAGCUACCCGAUAGAGGGGGAUACCAGUUGGAAACGACUGUUAAUACCGCAUAAUGUCUACGGACCAAAGUGUGGGACCUUCGGGCCACAUGCUAUCGGAUGCGCCUACGUGGGAUUAGCUAGUUGGUGAGGUAAUGGCUCACCAAGGCGACGAUCCCUAGCUGGUUUGAGAGGAUGAUCAGCCACACUGGAACUGAGACACGGUCCAGACUCCUGCGGGAGGCAGCAGUGGGGAAUAUUGGACAAUGGGCGCAAGCCUGAUCCAGCCGUGCCGCGUGUGUGAAGAAGGCCUUCGGGUUGUAAAGCACUUUCAGUUGGGAGGAAGGGUUGUGUGUUAAUAGUACACAGCCUUGACGUUACCAACAGAAGAAGCACCGGCUAACUCUGUGCCAGCAGCCGCGGUAAU
Molecule: ribosomal RNA, 510 nt
Filed under: uncultured Gammaproteobacteria bacterium
Lineage: Bacteria; Pseudomonadati; Pseudomonadota; Gammaproteobacteria
Description: bacterial SSU rRNA
Rfam family: Bacterial small subunit ribosomal RNA
Source: RNAcentral